UUACAAAAAUAUUAUUAAUUAACUUAAUAUAAUAUUCAUUAUAAUUAAUAAAAAUAAUUUUAAUUUAAAAAUGUUUUAUUAAUAUUUAUUAAAAAAAUAAUCUUUUUUAUAGAGAAUUAGUAUAGAAUUAGAAAUUUGAAAUAAUUUAAAAUAAGAUAAUUUAAAAGAAAGUUUUAUUUACUGUACCUUGUGUAUCAGGGUUUAUUAAAUAAAAAAUAAUAAUUUAUUUUUCUCGAAUUUAAGAGAUUUAUUUAUAUAUUUAAUUUAUUGUAGCAUAAAUAUUAAUAAUAUAUAAAUAGCAAUGAAAUGUUAUUCGUUCUUAAAUAUAUCUAGUUUUUCAAGAAAUAAAUUUAAUUUAUUUAUUUUAGAUUAACUUUAUAUAUUUAUAUAUAAAGUUAUAUUUUUAAAUGAAAAAUUUUAAAGGGAUAAGCUUUUAAAGUUCUAUUAAUAAAUUAAAAUUAUAAAUUUAAAUAAAUAUAAGCUUAUAAAUAGUUAAUAUUAAAAAUUAUGUAAUAAUUUAUUAUAAAGUUUAAUUAAUUAUUUAAUAAAUUUUUAUUAUUUAUUGAAAAAUUAAUUUUAAUAACAAAAAUUAAACUAUAAUGAUAAAAUUAGUAUAUUUAAUUUAAAUUAAAAAUGAAUUAUAAAUUGAAAUUAUUUAUAAUAACUCGGCAAAAAUAUUUUCAUCUGUUUAUCAAAAACAUUUCUUUUAGAAAUUAAUUUAAAGUAUAACCUGCCCAUUGAAAAUUUUAAAAGGCUGCGGUAUUUUGACCGUACAAAGGUAGCAUAAUCAUUAGUUUCUUAAUUGGAAACUCGUAUGAAUGGUUGAAUGAGAAAUAAACUUUUUUAAAUUAAAAAAUGAAUUUUACAUUUUAGUUAAAAGGCUAAAAUUAACUUAAAAGACGAGAAGACCCUAUAGAGUUUUAUAUUUAAUAAGUUAUAUUAUAUAAAAAAAAUUAUAAAAAUUAUAACAAUUUUAAUUAUUUUAUUGGGGUGAUAAUAAAAUUUAAUAAACUUUUAUUUAUUAUAUACAUUAAUCUAUGAAUAUUUGAUCCAUUAUUAAUGAUUAUAAAAUUAAAUUACCUUAGGGAUAACAGCGUAAUUUUUUUUUUAAGUUCAUAUUAAUAAAAAAUUUUGCGACCUCGAUGUUGGAUUAAGAUUUAAUUUUAGGUGCAGAAGUUUAAAAUUUAAGUCUGUUCGACUUUUAAAUUCUUACAUGAUCUGAGUUCAAACCGGUGUAAGCCAGGUUGGUUUCUAUCUUUAAAAAAAUAUUAUAUUUUAGUACGAAAGGAUUAAAUAUUUUAUAAAUUAUAAUUCUACUGAAUUAAAUUAAUAUAUAUAUAUAUAUAUAAAUAAAAUUUAA
This 1360-nucleotide ribosomal RNA is filed under the name Pseudolycoriella sp. XQM-2020. RNAcentral's name for it is "16S ribosomal RNA". Lineage: Eukaryota; Metazoa; Arthropoda; Insecta; Diptera; Sciaridae. The record is from RNAcentral.